GAUGAACGCUGGCGGCGUGCCUAAUACAUGCAAGUCGAGCGAACGGACGAGAAGCUUGCUUCUCUGAUGCUAGCGGCGGACGGGUGAGUAACACGUGGAUAACCUACCUAUAAGACUGGGAUAACUUCGGGAAACCGGAGCUAAUACCGGAUAAUAUUUUGAACCGCAUGGUUCAAAAGUGAAAGACGGUCUUGCUGUCACUUAUAGAUGGAUCCGCGCUGCAUUAGCUAGUUGGUAAGGUAACGGCCUACCAAGGCAACGACGCAUAGCCGACCUGAGAGGGUGAUCGGCCACACUGGAACUGAGACACGGUCCAGACUCCUACGGGAGGCAGCAGUAGGGAAUCUUCCGCAAUGGGCGAAAGCCUGACGGAGCAACGCCGCGUGAGUGAUGAAGGUCUUCGGAUCGUAAAACUCUGUUAUUAGGGAAGAACAUAUGUGUAAGUAACUGUGCACAUCUUGACGGUACCUAAUCAGAAAGCCACGGCUAACUACGUG
Molecule: ribosomal RNA, 497 nt
Filed under: uncultured bacterium
Lineage: Bacteria
Description: partial 16S ribosomal RNA
Rfam family: Bacterial small subunit ribosomal RNA
Source: RNAcentral